UGAAUCACACAGGUGCCUCUGCCCCCCCCCCCAUGGCAGAAUAAAACGCUCUUUCUCUGGAUUAACCCCUUGGUGUCGUUUGGCUCCUUUUGUCUCUGCUCGGGUGCAACAAUUAUUCCUACCCAUGGAUUAAAAAGGCUACAUAUUUCUGGUGCAUCGGCCGGGAAAAAGCACGUUCCCCGAGAUCGAGGGACAAAAAGGUCCAGGGCGUCACUGCAAUGCGAGCAGCUCGGGAUCCUGGGUCAACAGUUCCAGCGCGCAUCCUGCCAACUUCGUGGGAGGGACUGGCCACCCGUUCCUGAGUGGACACGCGACAAGUGACGGAGAGAAAGAGCAAUGGGCCGUGCAGAAAGAAGGUACCUCGAGGAACAAGGUAGGCUCCACAGGGUAUAGGUGGGAGCAAGCUCCACAGGGAUAGGUGGGAGCAAAGAGAGUUUGAUCAACUCCGCCAGCAGGGUAGAAGAAGCGCCACUGGUUUUGGUGUCGCCCAGAAAAAGCAGUAAAGGGUACUGCUGGGCCCCGGUCGAAGUUUAAGCGCUGCCGGUUGUGGUUGGUUGUUGGUUUUGUGCCCAGAAUAAGCAGAAAACAAAGGUCUCUUGGGCCCCGGUCGAAGUCGUGAAGCGCUGCCGGUUGUGGUUUUUGGUAAAAAAGGGGAUUGAGGGAGGUGCAUGGAGUUGUUGUUGUUGUUUUUUUUCUGAAUGUGCGUGUGGGGACACUCCAGUGAAUGUUUUGAGUGUGUGAGACGUUGAAAGCAACGUCUGGCCUGUGACUGAGUGGGGGGAAAAAAUAACGUUAGGAGGGCUGAGUGUCCCAGUGUCCCCAGGAUCCCAGAGUCAUGGGAAAUAAAAGCAGUAAAACAAUUCUUGAGACACCACUACAGAGCUUUCUGGAAAACUGGAAAAGUGCCACGAAAGCAGAAGAGUGGGGAUGUAAACUCAAAAAAAGCAGACUCCAACAUUUAUGUGAACUUGACUGGCCUUCGUAUUUACCAGAAUGGGCUCCUGGAGGAUCCUUUGAUCCAAACUUGGUCAACAUUUUAUGGAGUAACAUUUUCAAGGCCCACACAGAUCAGAGUCCCUAUAUUUCUAUCUGGAAAGCCAAUGUGGAUCAAAAUCCCUCAUGGCUUCGGAAAAAUAGAAUUGUGACUGCCCAAGUCCAACUGUGUUCAGUACAAUUACAAGUUAAGAAGCCACCAGUUUUGCCAGUCCUGGAAGAGGAGAUAAUUACCCCCCACACACACACCAUAUGCAGCAACUGUGCGAAGACAACCAAAUCUGGGAGCAAAUAGGGCUGCUUCUCUGCCCAAAGCCCAGACUGAGGACCCAAAUGAGAAGAUUCCCCCCUCUGCCCCUCCCCAACCCCCAUGUGAUGUAAGCGAGGAAGGUGAAGAGAAAGGUGAUGAUGAUGAUGAUGAUGAUGAUGAUGACUUCAGAAAAACUCAAGAUAAAGAGAUAAGAUGGACUAGUAAGCAGUCUGACAGAGUGUUCCAGUAUGUAGAACCGUUUAAAACAGAACUGGAUGUGGCCCCCUGGGUUCUAGAAGCAGCCCAGUGCCAGGAUGAGAAUUGGAGAAAAAAGCAAAAGGUUUUGAGAACAGCGUGGGACAGGGCAACAAAACCUGUAGAGACACUUAAAUCUAAGGCUUUGUCCAAACCCACUGUGGUGGCCCCUCUCCGGCAAGUGUAUGAUCCUUUGGAACAGCCAAAUGGUCAGGGCGUUAGACCCCCAAGGACCUUUACCAUUCAGCAUGUCCCUUUUACAAGCUCCGAUAUUUGCAAUUGGAAAAAUCAAAAUCCUUCUUUUGAGGAAAAUCCUGCAAAAAUAAUUAGACUUUUUGAAGGUGUGUUCAAAACCUAUAUGCCUACCUAUGAUGAUGUAAGUCAGCUUUUGGACACAAUUCUGACCACUGAGGAGGUCCGCAAGGUAAAUGCCUGUGCCAGGGAACAGCUCAAGGCAGCAAAUAAUACUGACGCUGCAAUUGAGGUCUCUUACCCCAGGCGGACCCCCCCUUGGGAUUACAAUACUACAGAGGGAAGGGCGGCCUUAGAGACUUCUCACAAAAAUGUUUUAGAAGGCAUGAGACGGGCAGCGAAAAGGCCUACAAAUAUGGCGAAAUUAUCUGAGAUUUUUCAGCUGCCCAAUGAGCCUCCAGGAGUAUUUUUGGAGAGAUUAAAAGAGGCAUUCCGCAAAUACACCCCCAUAGACCCUGAUGAUGAUGCCCAAGAGGUGAUUGUAAAAACCACCUUUGUGAUGCAAGCAGCUCCUGACAUAAGACGUAAAAUUCAAAAAAAAGAGAAUUUUAUAGGAAAUCGACUUGAAUGGAUGUUAACCCUUGCACAGACCACUUAUAAUCAGAGGGGUGAAGAAACAGAAAAGCAGAGAGAAAAAUACCAGACCAAAAAAUUAAUGGCACUAAGAGCUGGCCAGCAGCCAGACAGCCAGAAACAAAAAGCCCAUGGGAGGGGCAGGGGCCGUUUAGGACGGAAUCAGUGCGCCAUCUGCAGGCAGGAAGGUCACUGGAAGAUGGAAUGCCCGCAGAAUAAGGAAAUGUACCCCCACGCCCCGCAGUUUGCGAACAAUAACUUCGGGCCACAAGCCCAGCCGUGGGCUUCAGCUCCUUGGACUCCAAGGACCCGUGGCAGGGGGAGGGGGCAAGGACAGGGACCACCUUGGACCCCACCCCACCAAUCUGGGGCAAUGGCCCUGAGAGACGAAGACACUUACUAGGACAGACCGGGCCCAACCAAACAAAGCAGGUUCCCGUGAGCCCAUGGUCAACAUUGUAACUGGGAACCAGACUAUGCCAUUUAUGGUGGACACGGGUGCCGCAUUUUCCGUUGUGCCGCACCCAGUUGCCACAUCAACUGCUGAAUCAAUCAGCAUUAUUGGGGCCACGGGAAAAUCACAGCGAGUGCCAGUCUUUAAACCUGUGACCUGUAAACUAGGAGGGCAAACAGUCCAACAUAGAUUUAUCUACAUUCCUGAUUGCCCCAUUCCACUGAUGGGCAGGGAUUUAUUGACCAAACUGCAAGCUCAAAUCACUUUCCAGCCGUCAGGAGAGGUCACAAUGUCCACUACCUGCCCAUCUGGAGAAUUGGUAGUGGAAAGCCCCUUAAGGGAACACUGGCGCCUCAUGUUAAUACAGGAGAAGGAAAACCAAUCCCCACCUGCAUUUUGGACAGUGUAAAUCCUAAGGUAUGGGCUGAAGAUAAUCCCCCAGGCAUGGCUAAAAACAUUACCCACCCCCCAUCCUUGUGAAGCCCAAGCCUUUUUGGAACCCCGUAAAUGUGAAGCAGUAUCCCAUCCCACGCCCAGCAGCAGAAGGAGUGUGGAUUCAUCUUAAACGGCUGCUCCACUAUGGAAUUUUAAAACCUUGCCAAUCACAGUGGAACACCCCCCUGCUUCCAGUCAAAAAGGAAGGGGGAGGCUUUCGUCCGUGCCAGGACCUCAGGCUCCUAAACCAAGCCGUGCAGACCCUACAUCCCUCCGUGCCUAAUCCCUAUACAUUACUGAGCCUGAUUCCACCAACUGCAACACGUUUCACUGUAUUCGAUUUAAAGGACGCUUUUUUUAGCUGUAGGCUAGCUGAGGAAAGCCAGAGUUUGUUUGCUUUCCAGUGGAGGGACCCAGAGACAGGCACAAAAACGCAAUACACGUGGACGCGACUCCCACAGGGGUUUAAGAAUUCGCCCACACUUUUCAGUGCAGCUCUGGCUUCUGACUUAGCUAGCUUCCCCACCUCCCCCGACCGUGCGCUGAGUCAAUAUUUUGAUGAUAUUUUACUCUCGUGUAAAGAUGAAGACACGUGUCUAGAAGCGACCAGAGAUCUUUUGAAUCACCUAGCAGAAGCUGGGUACAGAGUUUCUAAAGCAAAAGCUCAGAUUUGCCAGCCAACUGUUAAAUACCUUGGCUUUGAUAUCUCUCACAGAACCCGUUCUUUACGAUCCGAAAGAAAACAGGCAAUCACCCAAAUUCCUGAACCGAAAAACAGGAGGGAGCUCCGGGGCUUCUUGGGGUCCGCCGGUUUCUGUAGAAUAUGGAUACCAAAUUACAGUGCCAUUGCCCAGCCCCUCCAUAAUUCCACCCGUGGAACAGAGAAGGAUCCCUUUGUGGGGGGGGCCAGAGCAGCGGCAGGCAUUCCAGCAGCUCAAGGACGCUUUACAGACUGCGCCUGCGCUUGGGCUUCCAAAUCCUUCCAAACCGGUUUAUUUGUACAUAGCUGAAGAUUCUGGAAUUGCGAAGGGCGUUCUUUGUCAGAAAUUGGGCAGUUGGCAGCAACCCAUAGCUUAUCUGUCUGAAAAGUUAACCCUUGCAGAGCAAGGCUUGCCUCCCUGUAUGCGGGCGGUUAUUGCUGCAGCAACCGUUCUUACGAAGGCUGACAAGUUCACCUUUGGCCAGGACACUGUAUGUGUCACCACACAUGCUGUGCCAGCCUUGUUGGAUAUGAAAGGGACUUAUUUUCUAUCACAAGACAAAAUGAUGAAAUGUCAAAUUUUGUUAAUGCAUCCACGUUUGCAGUUUCGAGUCACUGAGUCACUUAACCCAGCUACACUUUUACCUGUGGGUGAGGAAAGGCCCCCAACUCACGAUUGUUUACAGGUGAUGGAUGAAGUUUAUUCUAGUAGACCUGAUUUGAAGGACGUGCCAAAUCCUGCCUGGCCUUCUUGGUUUGUGGAUGGUAGCAGCUUUCUGGAGGGAGGCCAGCAAAAAGCGGGGUACGCUGUGGUAGCCCUGGAAGGGGAAAUCAUUGAAGCCUCCCCACUUCCCCCUUCUUCAUCCGCUCAGCUUGCUGAAAUUGUUGCUCUAACCCGUGCACUACAGUUGGCUGAAGGCAUAGACAUUAAUAUAUCUACUGACUCAAAAUGUGCUUUUCUUACCCUGCAUGCCCACGGAGCACUUUGGAAGGAACGUGGCAUGCUCACAUCAAAGGGGAGCCAGGUGCAGCGCCCCCAAGCCCUUAUGGAUCCUUUAACUGCAGUAUGGGCUCCCAGCCAAGUGGCUGUGAUACAUUGUUAUGGACAUCGAACUGGACUAAGUGUUGGGAUACUGCCAGGGAGAUAAAGUCCAUCAAGGCCCCCAAGCCGUCUGCCGGACGAUCCAUCUCAGUCUCCCGUAGGCACGCAGCGACAUGAGUUUCUAGAAAAUAUCUUGCCACAUUCUAGAGCUCAUGCACGCUCUAUCAGCAGAUAAAUGCACAGCCAAAAGUUGCAGUCAGGAGAGCAUUAUUUACAAGUUUAUUCAGCGUUGAUCAGAACACAGAAAAACAUGACUGACUGCUUUAGUGUCUGCGACACCAGAGAGAAAACGAAAGCAACAGAAAACAUAAACAUCCUGUGAACAGGAAAUACGCAGACUCUGACUCACAAAGCCUGCUCCCUUUUAAGGUGGAACGGAAAUAUCCUAACAUCCUCCCCUUUCCGUGUAACCUGUAGUACCUGUGGUUCAACCCAAUUGCAACCUUUGUACGUAAACCUUAAGUUGUUCUCUGUUAACAACCUUAGACAACAGAUCAGCAGGAAUUUCAUUUCCUGGCAUGUAGGACACCUGAAUGAGUCCUUUCUGAAUACACUCUCUUGCACGAUGUAGCUUAAUCUGCAAGUACUUGGUCCUUUGCUUGCAACUCUCCGAGUUCAGCAAAGCCAAACACGAUCUAUUGUCUUGAUACACUUGUACAGGACAUUUCACAGAAACUCUGAUGUCCUUAAACAGUUGCAUCAACCAUUCACAAUCCAUGAGUGAAAAUGACAGAGCAUUGAGUUCUGCUUCACAGGAACUUAGGCUCACUGUCGUCUGCUUUUGCACAACCAGUCAAACAGGCAGUGGUUGUACAUGUAGCAUACUCCAGAAGUGCUUGUACCAUCCGUGGUGUCACUUCCAAAACUUGCAUCUGCAAAGAUUUCAAGACCUCCAGUCUUCUGACUGGUGAACCUCAGCCUGUAGUGCAUAGUCCCUUUCAAAUAGCGGGCUAUGCGCUUCAGAGCUUUCCAAUCCUGAACAGUAGGAUUGUUAGCAUGUCUGCUAAGCAGGUUAGUGCUUACAGCUAUGUCAGGUCUUGAGCAUCUAGCAAUGAAAUUCAACUUGCCUAGAAUGCAUCUGUACAGCGUAGUGUCAGAAAACGCUUCAGCAGUACUGUCUACCUGGUAACCUGUCACCAUCGGUGUGUCUGCUGGGUUUGCAUCAACCAAAUUCAACCUGGUUAAUACAUCAGCAAUUUUCUGUGUUUGGUGUACCAGAAAAUUACCUGCUUGGUCCCUCUCCACCUGCAGAGAAAGAUAGUUGGAUACCUCACCAAGAUCCUUCAUGUCAAAGUGCUCCUUCAGCUGAGCUAGGGUGCUUUGGUAGAAAGCCUGAUUCUUCCAAAACAUCAGAAGAUCAUCAACAAAACAUAAACAAUACAGUUUGUUUUGCCCUCCUCCUUGACAAACACACAUGGAUCAGCUUUGCCCUGGUGAAAACCUAGAGAAAGCAAUGUCUCAGUGAGUUUUGUGUUCCAACACCUGGCACUCUGCUUGAGACCAUAUAAGGAUUUCCGCAGUUUACAGACCAUUCCCUUCUGUAUCUGCAUCCCGUCAGGUGGAAGCAUAAACAGCUCCUCCCCCAGAAUCCCGUACAAAAAGCUGUAUUAAUGUCAUGAUGGGAAACAUGCAGUUUCUCCUCCGCAGCUAUCUUGAGCAUCAGCCGAAUGCUCUCAUAUUUGACGGUGGGUGAGUAGGUCUCGUGGUAAUCCUGUCCUGGUACCUGUGAAAAACCUCUGGCAACCAAUCUGGCUUUGUGUCUGACAACCUUGCCAUUCUGGUCUGUCUUGGCCUUGAAGACCCAUUUGCUGCCAACCAGUCUCAUUCCUGGGACUACCGGUACCAGUUCCCAAGUUUGGUUCCUAUUCAAGGAAUCAACUUCAGCCUUCAUGGCAUUAAGCCAAGGCUCAGCAUCUUUAGAGGUUAACUCCUGAACCUCUUUGAAGCUUGAAGGUUCCCACACCUUCUCUGAGCUACUAAGAACAGCAGUUGCUGUCUUAGCAAACUCAUCAGCAAAUCUCUUUGGAGGUCUGCCCUUCGUGGCUCUCUCAGAUCUGCGUACUAGACGCAAGUCUUCUGGACUCAUCUCCUCCUUCUUAGGAGAAAAGUGACCAAUGGUGAACAGUGGUUCUUCCAGUUCAUUGUCAGACGCAUCAGAUGGUCUGACUGAGGCCUUUGCGCUCUUGUAGUCUGCUGUGUCAUCACUGUCACUGACAUCAGCAGCAGCGCCGCCCACUGAACUGGAAUCCGAACUCUGAUCAUCAUCGUCAUCAUCAUCCUCAGCAGCUUCCUCAGCUUUAGCUGCUUCUUUGACAUCACCUUCAUCCUCCUCUGGGUAACUCUGGAAAAUUCCCACAUUUUCCCCCCACUUAGGAUUGUACUCAACACUCUUUGUGAACUUAAUGGACUUAGAGUUGGUCAUCCAUACCCUGUAUGCACCUUUUCGUACCCCAUGAACAAACCAUGUGCCCCACGCUUCCCAAGCUUGUUGCUCUGUGGGGUGUGUACCCACAUGUCAGAACCAAAGAUUCUCAUGUGUUUGAUGUUGGGUUUCUUACCAAACAUCUUCUCAUAGGGAGUACAACCAAUAGGUGAUGACAAUCUGCGAUUAUAAGUGUAAGCAAAAUUCGACAGAGCCUCCCCCCAAUACUUAUCGGGAGAUUGGCAUCAUGCAACAAUGUUUUCAUUCCUUGCAGCAACGUUUGAUUUGCUCGCUCCGCAAGCCCAUUCAUCCAUGGCGAUCUAGGCGUUGACAAGUCAUGCUGGAUUCCCUUCUCAGUCAGGAAAGCUUCAAACUGCUGAGAAGUGAACUCCCGCCUCGAUCAGUAAACAGACAGCCAAUACGUUUACCGUGAACAUUCU
RNAcentral lists this long non-coding RNA (7876 nucleotides) under Podarcis lilfordi (Lilford's wall lizard). Lineage: Eukaryota; Metazoa; Chordata; Lepidosauria; Squamata; Lacertidae. The record is from RNAcentral.